This 837-nucleotide ribosomal RNA is filed under the name Bacillus spizizenii. RNAcentral describes it as "bacterial SSU rRNA". It matches the Rfam family "Bacterial small subunit ribosomal RNA", at positions 57 to 876 of the family's 1533-position model. Lineage: Bacteria; Bacillati; Bacillota; Bacilli; Caryophanales; Bacillaceae. The record is from RNAcentral.
GCAGUCGAGCGGACAGAUGGGAGCUUGCUCCCUGAUGUUAGCGGCGGACGGGUGAGUAACACGUGGGUAACCUGCCUGUAAGACUGGGAUAACUCCGGGAAACCGGGGCUAAUACCGGAUGGUUGUUUGAACCGCAUGGUUCAAACAUAAAAGGUGGCUUCGGCUACCACUUACAGAUGGACCCGCGGCGCAUUAGCUAGUUGGUGAGGUAACGGCUCACCAAGGCAACGAUGCGUAGCCGACCUGAGAGGGUGAUCGGCCACACUGGGACUGAGACACGGCCCAGACUCCUACGGGAGGCAGCAGUAGGGAAUCUUCCGCAAUGGACGAAAGUCUGACGGAGCAACGCCGCGUGAGUGAUGAAGGUUUUCGGAUCGUAAAGCUCUGUUGUUAGGGAAGAACAAGUACCGUUCGAAUAGGGCGGUACCUUGACGGUACCUAACCAGAAAGCCACGGCUAACUACGUGCCAGCAGCCGCGGUAAUACGUAGGUGGCAAGCGUUGUCCGGAAUUAUUGGGCGUAAAGGGCUCGCAGGCGGUUUCUUAAGUCUGAUGUGAAAGCCCCCGGCUCAACCGGGGAGGGUCAUUGGAAACUGGGGAACUUGAGUGCAGAAGAGGAGAGUGGAAUUCCACGUGUAGCGGUGAAAUGCGUAGAGAUGUGGAGGAACACCAGUGGCGAAGGCGACUCUCUGGUCUGUAACUGACGCUGAGGAGCGAAAGCGUGGGGAGCGAACAGGAUUAGAUACCCUGGUAGUCCACGCCGUANACGAUGAGUGCUAAGUGUUAGGGGGUUUCCGCCCCUUAGUGCUGCAGCUAACGCAUUAAGCACUCCGCCUGG